Molecule: ribosomal RNA, 492 nt
Filed under: uncultured bacterium
Lineage: Bacteria
Description: partial 16S ribosomal RNA
Rfam family: Bacterial small subunit ribosomal RNA
Source: RNAcentral
AGUGAACGCUGGCGGUAGGCCUAACACAUGCGAGUCGAACGGCAGCACAGUAAGAGCUUGCUCUUACGGGUGGCGAGUGGCGGACGGGUGAGGAGUACAUCGGAAUCUACUUUUUCGUGGGGGAUAACGUAGGGAAACUUACGCUAAUACCGCAUACGACCUACGGGUGAAAGCAGGGGAUCUUCGGACCUUGCGCGAUUGAAUGAGCCGAUGUCGGAUUAGCUAGUUGGCGGGGUAAAGGCCCACCAAGGCGACGAUCCGUAGCUGGUCUGAGAGGAUGAUCAGCCACACUGGAACUGAGACACGGUCCAGACUCCUACGGGAGGCAGCAGUGGGGAAUAUUGGACAAUGGGCGCAAGCCUGAUCCAGCCAUACCGCGUGGGUGAAGAAGGCCUUCGGGUUGUAAAGCCCUUUUGUUGGGAAAGAAAAGCAGCAGGUUAAUACCCCGCUGUUCUGACGGUACCCAAGGAAUAAGCACCGGCUAACUUCGUG